RNAcentral lists this non-coding RNA (216 nucleotides) under Andreesenella formicacetica. Its description in RNAcentral is "Clostridium formicaceticum T-box sequence". It matches the Rfam family "T-box leader". Rfam says of the family: Uncharged tRNA acts as the effector for transcription antitermination of genes in the T-box leader family. The record is from RNAcentral. Lineage: Bacteria; Bacillati; Bacillota; Clostridia; Peptostreptococcales; Natronincolaceae.
UCCUAUGCUAUGAUGGGGAAUAGUAAAAAAACAAAACUUUUCCAGAGAAUAAACCCUAGGCUGUAAGGUUUUAGAGUAAUGUUUUUUGAACCCGCCCUUGAGCUGUUGGCUGAAGAAUAAGUAGGUUAUACCGGUGGACACCGUUAAAGUCAUCAAGAGAACCUUAUAGGUUAACUAGAGUGGUACCGCGGGAAAAGUAAGUCUCUCGUCUCUAAA